RNAcentral lists this long non-coding RNA (2222 nucleotides) under Mytilus galloprovincialis (Mediterranean mussel). Lineage: Eukaryota; Metazoa; Mollusca; Bivalvia; Mytilida; Mytilidae. The record is from RNAcentral.
GAAAAUAAUCAAUAAAGUUUAACAAAUACAAGCUGACAGUGUGUCCAAAAUACAUAUUGAUAUACUAGUAAGAUACAAUUAUAAAGGUAUAUUUGAUUAUUCAAGGUAUAUUUAUUUGUGGAAGUCAUUAGAUGUUGUAAUACAAUAUGUAGAAUAAUUUUCAUACAUUUUUAAACGAUUUAAAACAAGACAGAAAUUUUCUAAAAUAUAACAAUAAUCACUCUUGGUUUUGGAAUUUGGUUAAACUUGACCACAAAAGGAGUAAGUUCGAUAAGGCCCUAAAAUGGCCCCCUUUUUAGCAUAAAUUUCAAAUUGGGAUUUGUUUACCAAUAUCACAAUGAAUAAUUGCUAACACAGUGACUAGAUAGGAAAUAAGUCUUUUGUUGAAAAUUUACAUUCCUGCGUUUAAUUCAUCACUUCACAAAUAGUACUCAUUUUGAUUUUCCAUGAAAAAACAAUGGGUAAAUUUCAACUGAAUAUUUGGACAGGAAACAUAGAGCACAUACGUCGACAAAAAAGAUUUUUGACAAUAAUGUUUGUAAUGACAUUUUACAUGUCUAACUUGAAUAUUUAGGUUGUCGACGGCUGCGCUCUAUGUUUCCUGAUCCUAAAUUUGUCUGAAAUCCUGCCGAUUUUGUCAAAUUUUGCCAAAAACCCUUAGUUUGACCUAACUGGGAUGUAAAAAUCAACUCUGUAGAAUAAAACUAUGACAGAAAUUGUUCUAUAAAACUUUCUCACAUGUCUUUAAGUCAACUUAAAACAUUUUUUAUCUUGUAGCAUUGAACUUUAUAAUUGUGGCCAAAUAUGACCCUUACCAAACUUACUCCUUUCAGAGAAGACAAUGAGCCAUAUGAGCUAUAAAAGAAAAUUGAAAAAAAUCACCAUCAUAAUUUCAUGAAUAUACAGUGGUUUUCUGUCUUUCGUUUCCCAUGUAUCUAAAACUGAAUGGUAGCACAAAAUAGAAUAUUAACAGUUUGAUUCCUUGAGUUUUAAAUAGUAUAUCAUUUAAUGAUAUUAAUGCAAUACAACUUGUACAAGUUUAUUUUUAGAAUAUAAAUGUCAACAAAUUAAUAAAUGCCUGUACGUUCUAUAAAUGCAUAGUUAUAAAAGAAUGUCAGCAGAAUAUAAAAUUAUAAAAUAAACAAUAAAUAAAUAUACUAUAAUACACAAUAUCACAGUUUAGUAUUAGCAGAUCUAUGGGCAAGCAAACAACCCUGUUUAACAACUUUGUAGGUAUAUAAAUAUAAUAAACAUAAAAUAUAUAUAUUUUUUUAAUUUUACAUUUGUAUAAUAAUUUUUAAGUAUAGUCCUUAUAAGAUUCAUACUAAAUGUGAUUCAUAGAUGGAAGGCCUACAAUUGAAAUUUUAGGAUAAUAAAGGAUGUUGUAAUCUAUAUAUAAUUUAUAUGAACCCUUACAAGAUGAGACAUAAUUCUAUAGAAUGCACUACAAAAACUCAUGUUAAGGGAGAUAACUCAAAUAUAUCCUUUAAAUCUUUGGUCAGAUGUCCUGGUAAGGCAGUAAAUGGAAAAUAUAAUUAAUUCAAUUCAUGUAAAUCCACUAAACUGAUUGACAACAAGAAUGUGUCCAUAGUACACGAAUGCCCCACUCGCACUAUCAUUUUCUAUGUUCAGUGGACCGUGAAAUUGGGGUCAAAACUUUAAUUUGGAAUUAAAAUUAGAAAGAUCAUAUCAUAGGGAACAUGUGUACUAAGUUUCAAGUUGAUGUAACUCUAACUUCAUCAAAAACUACCUUGACCAAAAACUUUAACCUGAACUUCGCACUAUCAUUUUCUAUAUUCAGUGGACCAUGAAAUUGGAGUCAAAACUAUAAUUUGGCAGUAAAAUUAGAAAGAUAAUAUCAUGGGGAACAUGUGUACUAAGUUUCAAGUUGAUUGGACUUCAACUUCUUCAAAAACUACCUUGACCAAAAACUUUAACCUGAAGCGGACGGACGAACGGACGCACAGACGGUACGACGAACGGAGGCACAGACCAGAAAACAUAAUGCCCCUCUACUAUCGUAGAUGGGGCAUAAAAAUACAAAUGUGUAGCCUUUCAUGAAGCAUAUCACAAAAGUAUGAUCUUGUUUGAUUCAUAUAUGGACUAUAACUUUAGUAAAAAAAAAUUCAUACACAUAGAAUACAUAAGAAAUAAAAUUGCCAAAGCUCAAUCUACUGGAUUAAAAUAUUGAGAAUACAAUAAAAUAUAUCUCAUUUCAGAAA